CUGUGUGAGAAUAAUCUGGCUGUGACAUCUGGCACCCCCUGGGUUGCCAGGCUGAUCUGAGUGUCUAGGCAGAGGUCACUUCUUUUCUCCUUUUGAAGCACGGUGUCUAGAAGCUGUGCUAAGAGUAUGACCUUUUCAGUAGAGCAGACUGUCCUCCAGUCAAGGGUACCUGAAUAUGUGCUGUCCUUCAAGAACCUCCAAACAAGCUCUGAGAGUAUUGUCUUCCCACCAAGCAACUGGCCUUUGGUGUGGUAGUAUAAACAUAAUAAUACCUUGAAGAGUUAAGUUUU
This 290-nucleotide small nuclear RNA is filed under the name Cricetulus griseus (Chinese hamster). RNAcentral describes it as "7SK RNA". It matches the Rfam family "7SK RNA". From Rfam's summary of the family: 7SK was discovered as an abundant small nuclear RNA in the mid-70s but a possible function has only recently been suggested. Two independent studies have found that 7SK RNA binds the CDK9/cyclin T complex (known as elongation factor P-TEFb). The record is from Rfam by way of RNAcentral. Lineage: Eukaryota; Metazoa; Chordata; Mammalia; Rodentia; Cricetidae.